AACUUGCUUCUCAUGAUAACAUUUGAGUGAGUGGCGGACGGGUGAGUAACACGUGGGGAAAA
Molecule: ribosomal RNA, 62 nt
Filed under: Latilactobacillus curvatus
Lineage: Bacteria; Bacillati; Bacillota; Bacilli; Lactobacillales; Lactobacillaceae
Description: Lactobacillus curvatus partial 16S ribosomal RNA
Source: RNAcentral